Molecule: non-coding RNA, 212 nt
Organism: Pelobates cultripes (western spadefoot toad)
Lineage: Eukaryota; Metazoa; Chordata; Amphibia; Anura; Pelobatidae
Source: the annotation of a GenBank genome assembly
GUCCCCUUGCAUGGGGACCUGCAUAAAAGAAGGUUCUUUGUGUGCCAAUAAACAGUUCAUCUUUGUACCCUUAUUCUGACUACGUAUGCUGUUUGGGAGUUCGUGUGUUUUACUGUGGGAAUUAUCCAGGAACACUAUUGGAUUUACAAUUGGGAAUUCGUCUACUAUAACUACUGAACGGAGGGCUAUAUUCACUGGGCUCUGGCUGUUCG